Molecule: ribosomal RNA, 253 nt
Filed under: uncultured bacterium
Lineage: Bacteria
Description: partial 16S ribosomal RNA
Rfam family: Bacterial small subunit ribosomal RNA
Source: RNAcentral
UACGAAGGUCCCGAGCGUUGUUCGGAAAUACUGGGCGUAAAGCGCACGUAGGCGGCUCAGCAAGUCAGGGGUGAAAUCCCGGGGCUCAACCCCGGAACUGCCCUUGAAACUGCUAGGCUAGAAUCUUGGAGAGGCGAGUGGAAUUCCGAGUGUAGAGGUGAAAUUCGUAGAUAUUCGGAAGAACACCAGUGGCGAAGGCGACUCGCUGGACAAGUAUUGACGCUGAGGUGCGAAAGCGUGGGGAGCAAACAGG